This 72-nucleotide transfer RNA is filed under the name Sus scrofa (pig). It matches the Rfam family "tRNA". Rfam says of the family: Transfer RNA (tRNA) molecules are approximately 80 nucleotides in length. Their secondary structure includes four short double-helical elements and three loops (D, anti-codon, and T loops). Lineage: Eukaryota; Metazoa; Chordata; Mammalia; Artiodactyla; Suidae. The record is from Rfam by way of RNAcentral.
CUCUAGCUAGUCUAGUGGCUAGGGUCCCUGGUUUUCAACCAGGCUGUCCAGGUUCAAUUCUUGAGCAGGAAA